Molecule: long non-coding RNA, 237 nt
Organism: Lates calcarifer (barramundi perch)
Lineage: Eukaryota; Metazoa; Chordata; Actinopteri; Centropomidae
Exons: 3
Source: RefSeq, a predicted model, not a curated record
GGAAGCGACCUGACUCUCUGAUGUCUGAUAAGUCCUUUGAGCUCCCAGACAGUUCCUGCAGUGAGCCGUCAACCAGUUCACAGACUAGUCCAGCCAAGUCCACUGGUCCCAGCAAUGCCCUCUUAUAAGAGUGAUGCUUCCAAGUACCAGCCCUUAAAUUUUCCUCUUUUGGAAAAACAAAGCCAGCUGACUGAAGAGGCGUCCAGCUAUUCAGUGUGUAAGGAAGAUUUAAUCUGU